UGUUUUGUGAUGUUGCCUUUUUCUAGAACGUGUAGUCGUACUCUUUUUUAUCAUAUAUUGGACAAAAGCAGACUGAGCAAGUGGGAGCGGCUUGAGAUAUUUUAUCCUUCAGAAGUUCAGAUCGACAGCUAACCCAAGUAGUACUACUCCUAGAGUAUUAUACUUGAACACAUCGCUACCAUACAAGGUUGUACAUUCCCAGUAAAGCAAACAAUGGCUACGGCCCUGGCACACCGACGGUCUCUGAUGCGCUCUAUUGCUAACCGGUACACGAUACAUACAUUCAUAUGUCGACUUCAUUUUCGGUUUCGGUUCCGGUUCUGCCACCAUUCUUUCCGAGAUCUACUCCGCAAGUCCAUGAAUGUUCCGCUGCCUCUUCCGAGAGACCCUACUCUGUUCGGAAGAGUGCUGCUACACAGUCACACACGACGGAUUUUGGACGAUUUUCACACGAUGCUACUAC
RNAcentral lists this long non-coding RNA (463 nucleotides) under Hordeum vulgare. RNAcentral describes it as "long non-coding RNA (HVUL_LNC018275)". Lineage: Eukaryota; Viridiplantae; Streptophyta; Magnoliopsida; Poales; Poaceae. The record is from RNAcentral.